AUAUACGCCCUAUAAAAUACAGAAUCCCGAAAAACAUUCGACGUUUUAAGAUCCCUUUAUGGCCCAUAUCUGACCAGCUACAGAAACAAAAUGUGCAAAGAGCGCGAGAGAAGUGCUUGCAGUUUCGUAGAUAUCCAGUGAUGAAACAUUUCGCUCAAGGUCACAUAAUUAUUCAUUGUUGCUUGUAGAUACUACGAAAAAUUCGCGAUAUCCCUAGCAAUUAGUGAUAGCAAUAAUUGUUAUUGUGCGAAAUUUCUUGGCUUGCACCUACGCUGCCUAUGUCUGCUUGUAUUUUCCUAUUUUUCAUGGGAGAAGCCACAUGUACAGCUCAGCAUGUAGAGCUCAUUCGACUCUUAGCACGUUUUUAUGCGUGUACUUCAAAUCUUUCUGUGGUUCUUCCUGCUGUAAUUCUCACAGUGGAGAAAGAGUGAAUGAUCCUAGACGAGAGUCCUUCCAGAUCGCCGACCCUUACUGAUUUUUGGCUCUGUAAGUGAAAUUCUUGAUCGUAGUCGUCAUCUGCGAGAGUUGAGAACGACAUUAUACAGUACCGUCAACAGCAGUGAGUCUUUAGGCGAUGGAGCUGAUUCUGUAGCUCGAUCGCGGGUCUGGAUUUAUCGCCGCCAUCGUAGCAUCAUCGUUAAUAAUACCAGUAGCGUAUAACACUGACCCCGCCAGCGCCCUCAGCGGGUCAAUGCGAUCGCGAAAAAAAAAAGAAAGUAUGAAAAAUCAACCACCCAUGAGCCGUCAGAGGCAGCAACAAAAUCGAGCUUCAGAAACGCCGCGCUGCGUCAGAUUGGGCGGCGGUGACUGCCGGAGCUCUAAACAAGGAAAACAGCUCUCUAAGAUAUCGCAAUUUUCAUACGAUCACACCAGCGACAACAGUCGAAAAGCUAGUGCCCAGUGAUGGUCAACGCGAACAGCAGAAAAAACGCCGUAGCAUGGAAACAUACGGCACCCUCACAGCGCCGAUGGCCGCAGCGGUAAUGGCAAAUGUUUUAGACUCGAUAACGGCCGGCUUCGCUCUCAUCUUUAAUAGCCGCCAACAACUUGUUUUUACCUGUUCAACGGCUACCCUAGUCGGUGCCAUUACCGAUGUUGAUUUCUUCAAAGUUAAUUAAUUUCGCUGUUCGCUGCCCCCAUACAACGUCAACGUUCACAAGCAGCAGCAGUAACGAUUGCAGACGCUUCGGCCGCCCAGUAGACACUCUAUAGUCUAUAAAUGUAGCUCGACUGCGUCAAAUUGUCCGGCAAACGAAAUAAGUUUUGAAUACAUGUGAAUCUAUUGGUUUGCUAUGCCCUAUUAUGAGGGUAUAGGACUCUUUUUUUCGAAAGACGAAGCAGAAAUACCAGCCAUCGCCAUCAGCGGCAUCCUAUCCAGAUAGAACCGGCAACGUGAAUGCUGCUCGCGAGAUGCAUGCUUCGGUCGUACAAUCGGUUUGCCAUAUUGUCCAGUUCAGCUCUAGUGUGUAUUUGUGAUCAGUUUCCGUAGCACUUGCCAAUCGAAACGAAACAAGUAGCCUGUCACGAUCGCCUAUAACACAUAAGAGUGGAUGAGGUAAACGGUAAGACGAGGGUGAUGAUAACAAGUAUUUUUAGAAGAGAGCAAGGUGUUUAAUGUACAUUUGACAAACGGUAUGUGAAGUGUAUGUAUAUGCAAGAAAGAUGAAGAAAUUAUUACCUUCGGACGCCAUCAUCAAGCCCUACGAUCGGAAUAGAAUCUCAAGCUUUCCAUACGUAUGUGAACAGGUUAAAUACGGCUAUAUUUAUCGUGGAAUUUUGCCUUGAAAUGUAAUUUUAAUCUGUGUGCAAUAAUGUGUAUUGUACAUGUACACACUAGAUCCGUUACGACACUGCCUUGUCACCCCUCCCAGUCAAACUCAAAGCGAGUCUGAACCUGCCUCCAGAUCUAUUCCAAGAUGAAGUCAACUAUUCUACUAUAUUGAGGGGCACGUUGUGGUGUAGGUUCAAAUCCGGAAACAGGCACUCUUUAUGUUGCGGCAGGACACGGGCGUCUGAUGGAAUGAAUCGAACAUACAAUUCGAAAGAUAGAGAUGCGUGUUCCAGCCACCCUGUCACCGACAAAAUGUGCUUUUGGUAUCUAUCGCGAAAAAACAGGGAGCUUUAAACUUUGAGCAAGUUUAAGGACCAAGUGCCCUUGUAUAGCCCGGAUGGCCCGUGCGAAAAUAGAAGGCCACGUUACAACAUCUAAGUGCUCCUUAAUUAUAAUAUAUCACAUUGAAUUGAAACAAAUAACCGGUACACAGGACGUCAAACAUUUGAAUAAACAGCGUUUUUUCUUGUAAGCUAUGCUCUUAGUCUAGACUAUGGAUGUUUGUUUUUCUGCAUUUUUGAAUCGUUUGCGAAGAGAGAGAACUUCCACAGUUAGUUUUGAAUAUCCCUAGAAUAUGUGGUAAUAUUGUGUAUCGGUUUUACUUACGUACUGUGUGACAGCGACUACUGUUCAAUGAAGGAAAUGGCCCCGACUAGUUACAAUUGUUACUGACUAUAUCAAUGCACUAGAUUACAAAUUACGACUGCCUUGCUCGGGUUUACUACCAAAAUCGUACUUUCGGAUCAUAGCUAUUCACUUUCAGUCGAAUAAUACUGACUACUGAUAAGGGUGUAUUAUAAUGAGGACGUCAAUUAUAUUUUCCGCUGUUACGAAAACUCGCUCGACCAGUACCUUGUGAACUAUUUUCUUCAUUCAGCUCAAACUGUUGUACGUAAAGGUCAUCGCCGCAUAGAUCUGGCACACUGAUGAUGGUCUGUUCGUGAACAUCUAGUUGAGGCUGUCACAGGUAUAGUUUGUGAAGGCAUUUCUUACUAAACUGUAUGCGUUAUUCAUUCUAGCCGUAAGCAACAGAGUCUUUUUGGCAUUUUCGUACAACUAAGCUACGUUUGUGCUUGUCUCAUCUCUGUAUAUAUAGUAUAUGUAAUAAAUACCGUAAACAGUUGGAAAUGUUGGAUGAUAAUGACUAAUGCGCAGUUUGUGUAUAAGUAGUCGUACACGACGAUUUUCCAAACGGUACAGUUUCACGUAAUCGUUCUGGACAUAUUUUGACGUGUCUGGAUAUUUUCAGAGAAUCACUUUUUGUGCGCAACAGUGGAUUGUAUCUAAGCGAACUCCUUCUGUUAGCCCUGUUUGUACCAUCAUAUGAUGAGAGUUGUCUGCAAAGAGCGUCGCAAAUCCAA
Molecule: long non-coding RNA, 3192 nt
Filed under: Varroa destructor (honeybee mite)
Lineage: Eukaryota; Metazoa; Arthropoda; Arachnida; Mesostigmata; Varroidae
Description: uncharacterized LOC111247103
Source: RNAcentral